UACAGAGGUCCCAAGCGUUGUUCGGAUUCAUUGGGCGUAAAGGGUUCGUAGGCGGUGCGGCAAGUUGGGAGUGAAAUCUCUGGGCUUAACCCAGAGGCUGCUUCCAAAACUGCCGUGCUAGAGUGCGAGAGAGGCCAGUGGAAUUGCAGGUGUAGCGGUGAAAUGCGUAGAUAUCUGCAGGAACACCCGUGGCGAAGGCGGCUGGCUGGAUCGCAACUGACGCUGAGGAACGAAAGCUAGGGGAGCAAACAGG
Molecule: ribosomal RNA, 253 nt
Filed under: uncultured bacterium
Lineage: Bacteria
Description: partial 16S ribosomal RNA
Rfam family: Bacterial small subunit ribosomal RNA
Source: RNAcentral